RNAcentral lists this ribosomal RNA (253 nucleotides) under uncultured bacterium. Its description in RNAcentral is "partial 16S ribosomal RNA". It matches the Rfam family "Bacterial small subunit ribosomal RNA", at positions 524 to 776 of the family's 1533-position model. The record is from RNAcentral.
UACGUAGGGGGCGAGCGUUGUCCGGAAUCAUUGGGCGUAAAGCGCGUGUAGGCGGCCCGGUAAGUCCGCUGUGAAAGUCCAGGGCUCAACCCUGGGAUGCCGGUGGAUACUGUCGGGCUCGAGUCCGGAAGAGGCGAGUGGAAUUCCUGGUGUAGCGGUGAAAUGCGCAGAUAUCAGGAGGAACACCAAUGGCGAAGGCGGGAUCCUGGGCCAGUACUGACGCUGAGGAGCGAAAGCGUGGGGAGCAAACAGG